UCCGUGCUCAAAGGGACCCGGGCCCCCUCGGCGUCGGCGGCCCGGCCGGCCCCAGUGCCGCGGGGCGGCGUGCGGGCAGGGGGGCCUGCCACCGCUCGGGAGGGGCGGCUCCGCGCAGACGCUCCCUGGGUGGGGCGAGUACCCCGCCCAGCCCGUGGCGCCGGGCAGGCAGCGAGCAGCCGCCCUCGCCCUCAGGCCCGGCCGGGCCGUGUGAAGAGCGGGCGCGGCAGGACGAUACUCGCCCCUCGUAACCCCCUUUUUGCACCAGUCCCGCAAACAGCCUUUCGGGGGGGGGGGGGGCUAAGGGGACACGGCGAGAGCGACAGGGAGAAGCGUCCAAUGGGCUUCCUCGCCCCGCCUCAUUGGCCUCCUCCCCGCUUCUGGCCCGGCAGAGUUGGCGGCCGGAGCCUAUGGGCGCCGCGCUGGGGGCGCGGCCGAGCGCUGGUCGUGAGGGUUGCGGGCCAAUAGGGGAGAAGAUGUGAGGCAGCCCCCGCCCCGCCCGAGCUGGGGCCGCAGCCAAUAAGACGCGCGGGGGGGGGGGGGAGGCGGCGAGCGGGGGUUCCGUGUGGAAAGAACAGGGGGCUCGGGUGCAAAGUUUCGCUUCAAACCGUCUGCAAAGAGCGGCCGAGGAGGGGGAGUUGUUGGAGACCGACGCCCCGCUCGGCCCGGCUCCUCCUGCCGCCGCCGCCGCCUCUCGCGUUCCCUUCGCGGCGGUCCUUGCCCCGCCAGAUGUGGCCUUCAGGAACACCCCAGGCACCCGGCCGAGCAUCUCCCCCAGAUAAGAAAGUGCCCAAGACACAGCAAAGAUGACGUGUUCUGGGAGGUCCUGCAGAGCUCCAAUGCAGAAAAAAGAGCAAGGCUCACCCAAAGUCCUUCCAGCAUUUUAUGACCAGGCUUGGCUGCGAUCUUCCAUUCACGAGACAAGUCAUGUUGUCAGCUUGCCUCCUUGGUGAAAAAUUCAGGCUGUCUCUUG
Dermochelys coriacea (leatherback sea turtle) is the source of this 973-nucleotide long non-coding RNA. RefSeq lists it as uncharacterized. The transcript has 3 exons. The record is from RefSeq and is a predicted model, not a curated record. NCBI's taxonomy places the organism in Eukaryota, Metazoa, Chordata, Testudines, Dermochelyidae.